GCUAACGUAGCUUAAUAUAAAGCAUGGCGCUGAAGUUGCCAAGAUGGGCCCUAAUAAGCCCCGUACGCA
This 69-nucleotide transfer RNA is filed under the name Danio dangila (olive danio). RNAcentral describes it as "tRNA-Phe". It matches the Rfam family "tRNA". Rfam says of the family: Transfer RNA (tRNA) molecules are approximately 80 nucleotides in length. Their secondary structure includes four short double-helical elements and three loops (D, anti-codon, and T loops). Further hydrogen bonds mediate the characteristic L-shaped molecular structure. tRNAs have two regions of fundamental functional importance: the anti-codon, which is responsible for specific mRNA codon recognition, and the 3' end, to which the tRNAs corresponding amino acid is attached (by aminoacyl-tRNA synthetases). tRNAs cope with the degeneracy of the genetic code in two manners: having more than one tRNA (with a specific anti-codon) for a particular amino acid; and 'wobble' base-pairing, i.e. permitting non-standard base-pairing at the 3rd anti-codon position. Lineage: Eukaryota; Metazoa; Chordata; Actinopteri; Cypriniformes; Danionidae. The record is from RNAcentral.